GACGAACCGUGCGAACGUUAUUCGGAAUCACUGGGCUUAAAGGGCGCGUAGGCGGUGCGGUAAGUCACCUGUGAAACCUCUAGGCUCAACCUAGAGCCUGCAGGCGAAACUGCCGUGCUUGAGGGUGGGAGAGGUGCGUGGAAUUCCUGGUGUAGCGGUGAAAUGCGUAGAUAUCAGGAGGAACACCUGUGGCGAAAGCGGCUCACUGGACCAUAACUGACGCUGAUGCACGAAAGCUAGGGGAGCAAACAGG
This 253-nucleotide ribosomal RNA is filed under the name uncultured bacterium. Its description in RNAcentral is "partial 16S ribosomal RNA". It matches the Rfam family "Bacterial small subunit ribosomal RNA", at positions 524 to 776 of the family's 1533-position model. The record is from RNAcentral.